GUCACUUUAACAAAAAAUAUUUGCCAACAAAUAUAACUCAACUUUGCUCUGAACAGUAGAGGUAGAAGGAUGAUUCUAACCCUUGCUUCUGCUCCUUGAUCUGCCUGUGCAAACGAAGACCCAAGCCAAAGCGUCCUUCUGCGGUCCAGGGGGCAGCCCUCCGACAUGGCUUGCCCUUUCUGCCCUGUGUGGUGGCACUCAAGUGUGGUUUCUUUACAGCAGUUUUUAAUUAAGUUUCCUUUAGUUUUAGUGACUGUAUGUGACUUCUUUCUCUCUCCAAUACGGAUCUCUCUGCAGGAAGGGCUAUAGCAUAUUUUUGAAAAACAUUGUCUUUCUUUAAUAAGUCCUUUGUGAUCUUUUUUCAGGCAUACAGCUAAGGGGACAUUAAAUCACACUCCAUUGAAGCUCAGUUUUUUGCAGAUGGAAAUGCUUCAGGGUCAUGUGAGCUGAGUAGUUGCUGGGUGCUGGGGACUGUUUCCAGAGCUGCACAGUUCCAGAACUUUUCACACAGCUGAGUAGAGAGAGAAAGCAGUUGCAAAAGAAUAUCCUCUUUGUGCAUCUGAUGGAGAGACAAGGCGUCAUCCCUCAUCACUUCUGUUUUAUCCAAGGCAAAAGCACUAACCCCUGUUGAAUGCAGGGAUCUUGUGUUCAGCAGCACAGCACUACAAGAGCAAUGAGCCUUGCUCACAGGAGGAAGAAACCUUACAGCAAGCAGUGUGAAGACUCACUGUGAGCAGGACUAACACCCUUUUCAUGGUAGCAGAGCACAUUUCACUCCACGGGAAAUGAAGAUACCAUAUCAUCAUGGAAGGACGUUCUGUGCUAAGUACCUCUCAAGAGGGGUUUCCUUGGACUUAACCUGAGCCACCUGAAAGUCAGGUGUCUAAUCUAAGCAGAUGUGAAAAGAGGCUGGGAUAAAUCACUGUCUGGAGGUGCCCAUUUCUCUCCAUUGACUUCAGGGACUGUCAUAAUGACUGCAAUGCCUUUCAGAUGGUUAAAAUUAAGUAAGUUGAAUCCCAGCCUAUUGCUUCAUCUUCUGUACAAAAGCACAAGGAUGUUGCUUUUUUUUUUCUUUCUCUCUACAGCUGCACCAAGAUUUUUUUGGUUGAUUUUCUCUUCUUUUUUUUUUUUUUUUUGUGCCAAGCAUGCCUUGGCUUUCCUUUAAAACUGUCAGUGCUCAGGGACGUUAGAUAAGAGGUGGAGAAUUGAAUAAAAGGAACAAAUUACAACAAAACAUGCCUCAGUGUGUUGAGACAGAAUAUGUUACAGCAGGCCAAUGAUAAGUAUAUGUCCCAUGUGGGGAAUCAGACAUGUCAGGAGAUGUGAUGGAUUAGAUCUCUAGUGGUCUGUUGAGAAGGUCAAUGGCUGGAGAAUAUGACACCACCUAUGUAAUUCUGAGAGAUGAGAAGGUGAAAGAGCACAACAGAAAAUGUUUUUAUAGGAUGAAAAAAACCCCUAACAACUAAGCAAAUAAUCUAUAUCUGUUAGCAUAAUUUACUCCUUCAAAUAUACAUGCCUAAUUGCUAUGUUAAAGGUGUAAGUUAUUUUUACUAUCUAUAAAUUUUAUUCUUUGAUGAAAUGCAGAUAUUAAUGGGCUAAUAUGGUCCUUUAUCUUGUGAAUUAUUGAGAAAUUAUAGACACUAGUCAAAUUUAAAAUGAAGCCGAUGAACGACUAUUUUCUUAUGAUUAUCUUGUUUUUAUGAAUAUUUUUUUUCUGACAUGAUCAAAUAUAAAUUCAAUAUUUUAAUAUAAUUUUUAGCAUCUCUCAGACGUUUUUACCAUUCUCCUUAUCCUGGAUAUAUGGUCCAUCAUACAUGUGCCCCUGAAUUUGAGAACAACUGAUCAAACCAGCCAGGUGCUAGUGGAAGUGCCCCAUAGAUUGUACUGGAUCAAUCCAGAGGAUCAGCUGGGAGGUAGUGGUCACUGAAGAGAGUGAUCUGGGCAAGAUGUUGCCUUGCCCACCCCUUCAUCAUGCUAUUGCAAAGUUAAUUCUACCAGUUUGUCACUUGGCUCCCUCUCAUCUCCUCAUCAUCCCACUGCUGUCUUUCCUUUUUAUAUCACAUCAAAUGUGAAGCACUUGACUUCACCUUGAAAGCCCUUAAAAGCUUCACCUUCCCUACAGAUCGUCUUUAAUUCACAGAAGGUGUCAGCUCUCAGCCCUGAUAGGUCACUGAUGCCAGCUUCGACAUUCACUUGUUAAAAUUUCAAACAGGCUCUUUCAUGUCCUCUCCCGUGCUGCCUCUGAGGAGCUUGCUGUAAACCUCCAUGAAGCUGCCUCAUUACUUUCCAUCAAACAUCUCUGAAAGCUCCCUCUUGCAAGGGUGCCAGUGACAAUCUCCAGAACAAUUAGGCUGCUGCCCUGCAGAUUCCGCUUUUAGCUCUACCUCCCACCCUGUGUCUCAUUGUUCCCUUCUCCUACCCAGACAGUUGCCUCUUCUCUCAUGGUGUUAGGCUUUUGGCCUUUUUUUUUUCUCCUGACUUUGUACAGUGCCCAGCAAAAUGAGGUCCUGAUCCAUGACUCUUGAGCUCUGUAGUAACAGUGACUUGUAAGAAUAGAAAUACAGCUAGCACUCGUGAGUUUGGUUAUUAAAGGCUUUACGGUAGAGAGCUUUGAUUAAGUACAGAAUUUGUCAAAUACAUGCAUUGUUUAGUAAAAUGUGCUUCUGUCCAAUUGAUUUCAAAUGGAGAUAGCAUAUAGUUGCUUUUAAGUGUAUAGUUAAGUAUUUGGCAGAAUCAGGUUGUAAACAAAUUGUAAUUCUCAUUCAACCAGCCAAGCUGUCUUUGCAUUAGUGUAUUCAGAUCUUUCAUUUGCAGCCUUGUUCUUUCAGUUACAUGCAGAUACUUCAAAGAAAAUGCCAUGGGCACCAAAGCAAUUAACUAUAGAGGAAGAAGGCAGAGCAGGCCUUGUUCUAGGGCCAGCGUUCAGGAAGAAGGCCAUCCACUGGAGGUUAAUUACAAAUAAUCUCUGUUUUUGUGUAGCUGCAUUUAUGCACAUGUGAAUACAAUUAAAAGAAAGUAGAAAAUGAUAUGUGGAAAUCAAAGGGAAGCUGGAGACCUGGAGAAUGCAAAGUCUGAAAAUUUUCUAGCACCUCUAAAUAUGCUCAUGCAGUCCAUCAUGUUGGACAACAAGAACACAUUCAUCUUCUAAUAGACCAAUGUGACCUCUGUAAUUUACUCCAUAUCCUGAAUGCUGGAGCACACUCCAGAGUGGAAGCAAGUGUGUUCUGUAAGCAGAGACUACUGCAAAGGAGAGUAUUAUUAUGCUGCUUUGAAUUUGUGGAAUAAAAUACCCUGAGAGCAAUAUACUAGGAGAACAGUGGAGGGUAUAUUCUACGGAGAUGUAAAAUGAGAGUUAUGGCACUCCAAAAAUUUCUGUCUUACUUGUGGUAUGCCAAAGUGAUGGUAUUUUGGAUUCUGUUGGGGCUUAGGGUGGCGAUUAUGCACUCUGCUCAUCUCAGGUUUGUAUUUUGGAUGCUGCAAAGUACAAAAACAAAAAAUGAAGUAGCGAAAGUUUAAAGAAAUCUAAAUGAACACUGUAGGAUGAGUGCAUGCUGAAGGGCUUACAUCUGGGCUGGAUUGAAAUCUUAUGUCUCUCUUGGCACAGCUGUAGUGAGCCAGGAUAUCAUCUGAGCUUGCGGGAUUGAUUCAUCUGCAUCUACUAGUGACUGUUUGCACAUCUGUCAAGCUUGCUCCUUUUGCCAAGUAACACAACUCCACACAGAGUCCAGGCUCCUGCUGCUCCAGCCCUGCCUUGCCGACUGCUCUGCCAUUCUCUGCUGAAUAUUCAGCCCCAGGGGAGCAGCGGGUCGACUCCGGUGUUCUCAGUGUCAUGUGGCAAAGUGCUGUGAGAGCAGUACGCAGAUCCCACCUCUUCAGAGUACUUUCCCCCUUUUUUUUAACCGUAAACAGCCUUUCUGCUUUGGUCAGAAAGACCUCAAGAAUAUAACAGAGAAUCAUCUGUCUUUUUUAAGGUAGCUCAUUAAACAUUAGCAAGAAUAUUCAUUUCUGCAUGUUUCUAGAGUAACUUCUUUAAAACAUUAUGUAAUCUCUACUCAGUUAUUUGGACUUUCUCUGUAAAGUUUGGAAGCAGCUGUGAGGAGUGUAGGUCUGUCUGUACCAUAGUAUCAUGAAACA
Struthio camelus australis is the source of this 4134-nucleotide long non-coding RNA. RefSeq lists it as uncharacterized. The record is from RefSeq and is a predicted model, not a curated record. Lineage: Eukaryota; Metazoa; Chordata; Aves; Struthioniformes; Struthionidae.